Molecule: long non-coding RNA, 470 nt
Filed under: Capsicum annuum
Lineage: Eukaryota; Viridiplantae; Streptophyta; Magnoliopsida; Solanales; Solanaceae
Description: long non-coding RNA (CANN_LNC011007)
Source: RNAcentral
GGUUGGUGGCUGGUCAGUGAGUAGUAAAUUUCACCAGUCAUGGUUGGCCGCAAUUCAUAGAGGCAGCACUUAGAAGAAGCAAGCCGGCAGAUCUGGUGACGAAAAAAGAGAAAAACAGCGAUAGAGUUGGUUCGUCGGUGAUGGACGUAUUACCCAGUAGAAAUUCCGACGAAAAUGAAUUGUUUCUCACCAGAUUUUCGAUUAGAACAAACAAAAGAAGUCUCAGAAUUUUGGGGGCUGUGAACGGUCGGAUUCCGCGAGGAAUUCCAAUGAUGGGUGAGUUGUUUCCGGCGAGGGGUACGGUUUGGAUGAUUUUUUGGCGCUUUUGCCGGCGGCAAUGGUCGGUUGAUGACGAGAAAAAGGGAGGGGGAAGGCGGCGGCGGCUCGGUGUCUGCUAAUGGUUGGAGAGUUUUUCGCCACCAAAAAAAGAUCGCCGAAACAGUGACGAGAUGCAUUUUUUUUUACUGGUG